GAUAACACUUGGAAACAGGUGCUAAUACCGCAUAACAGUUUAUGCCGCAUGGCAUAAGAGUGAAAGGCGCUUUCGGGUGUCGCUGAUGGAUGGACCCGCGGUGCAUUAGCUAGUUGGUGAGGUAACGGCUCACCAAGGCCACGAUGCAUAGCCGACCUGAGAGGGUGAUCGGCCACACUGGGACUGAGACACGGCCCAGACUCCUACGGGAGGCAGCAGUAGGGAAUCUUCGGCAAUGGACGAAAGUCUGACCGAGCAACGCCGCGUGAGUGAAGAAGGUUUUCGGAUCGUAAAACUCUGUUGUUAGAGAAGAACAAGGACGUUAGUAACUGAACGUCCCCUGACGGUAUCUAACCAGAAAGCCACGGCUAACUACGUGCCAGCAGCCGCGGUAAUACGUAGGUGGCAAGCGUUGUCCGGAUUUAUUGGGCGUAAAGCGAGCGCAGGCGGUUUCUUAAGUCUGAUGUGAAAGCCCCCGGCUCAACCGGGGAGGGUCAUUGGAAACUGGGAGACUUGAGUGCAGAAGAGGAGAGUGGAAUUCCAUGUGUAGCGGUGAAAUGCGUAGAUAUAUGGAGGAACACCAGUGGCGAAGGCGGCUCUCUGGUCUGUAACUGACGCUGAGGCUCGAAAGCGUGGGGAGCAAACAGGAUUAGAUAC
RNAcentral lists this ribosomal RNA (657 nucleotides) under Enterococcus sp. R.M15. RNAcentral describes it as "bacterial SSU rRNA". It matches the Rfam family "Bacterial small subunit ribosomal RNA", at positions 142 to 785 of the family's 1533-position model. Lineage: Bacteria; Bacillati; Bacillota; Bacilli; Lactobacillales; Enterococcaceae. The record is from RNAcentral.